RNAcentral lists this ribosomal RNA (563 nucleotides) under uncultured bacterium. RNAcentral describes it as "bacterial SSU rRNA". It matches the Rfam family "Bacterial small subunit ribosomal RNA", at positions 338 to 916 of the family's 1533-position model. The record is from RNAcentral.
CCUACGGGAGGCAGCAGUGGGGAAUAUUGGACAAUGGGCGAAAGCCUGAUCCAGCAAUGCCGCGUGAGUGAUGAAGGCCUUCGGGUCGUAAAGCUCUUUUACCAGGGAUGAUAAUGACAGUACCUGGAGAAUAAGCUCCGGCUAACUCCGUGCCAGCAGCCGCGGUAAUACGGAGGGAGCUAGCGUUGUUCGGAAUUACUGGGCGUAAAGAGUACGUAGGCGGUUAUUCAAGUCAGAGGUGAAAGCCCGGGGCUCAACCCCGGAACUGCCUUUGAAACUAGAUAACUAGAGUCUUGGAGAGGUUAGUGGAAUUCCGAGUGUAGAGGUGAAAUUCGUAGAUAUUCGGAAGAACACCAGUGGCGAAGGCGACUAACUGGACAAGUACUGACGCUGAGGUACGAAAGCGUGGGGAGCAAACAGGAUUAGAUACCCUGGUAGUCCACGCCGUAAACGAUGAUAACUAGUUGUUCGGUCACUUGGUGACUGAGUGACGCAGCUAACGCAUUAAGUUAUCCGCCUGGGGAGUACGGUCGCAAGAUUAAAACUCAAAAUGAAAUUGACGG